This 446-nucleotide ribosomal RNA is filed under the name uncultured bacterium. RNAcentral describes it as "partial 16S ribosomal RNA". It matches the Rfam family "Bacterial small subunit ribosomal RNA", at positions 338 to 795 of the family's 1533-position model. The record is from RNAcentral.
CCUACGGGAGGCAGCAGUCGAGAAUCAUUCACAAUGGGGGAAACCCUGAUGGUGCGACGCCGCGUGGGGGAAUGAAGGUCUUCGGAUUGUAAACCCCUGUCAUGUGGGAGCAAAUUAAAAAGAUAGUACCACAAGAGGAAGAGACGGCUAACUCUGUGCCAGCAGCCGCGGUAAUACAGAGGUCUCAAGCGUUGUUCGGAAUCACUGGGCGUAAGGCGUGCGUAGGCUGUUUCGUAAGUCGUGUGUGAAAGGCGCGGGCUCAACCCGCGGACGGCACAUGAUACUGCGAGACUAGAGUAAUGGAGGGGGAAGCGGAAUUCUUGGUGUAGCAGUGAAAUGCGUAGAUAUCGGGAGGAACACUCGUGGCGAAGGCGGGUUCCUGGACAUUAACUGACGCUGAGGCACGAAGGCCAGGGGAGCGAAAGGGAUUAGAUACCCCUGUAGUC